This 253-nucleotide ribosomal RNA is filed under the name uncultured bacterium. RNAcentral describes it as "partial 16S ribosomal RNA". It matches the Rfam family "Bacterial small subunit ribosomal RNA", at positions 524 to 776 of the family's 1533-position model. The record is from RNAcentral.
UACAGAGGUCCCGAGCGUUGUUCGGAAUUACUGGGCGUAAAGGGUGCGUAGGUGGCGUCGUAAGUCAGGUGUGAAAUCUCGGGGCUCAACCCCGAAACUGCACUUGAUACUGCGAUGCUCGAGUACUGGAGAGGAGAUUGGAAUUUACGGUGUAGCAGUGAAAUGCGUAGAUAUCGUAAGGAAGACCAGUGGCGAAGGCGAAUCUCUGGACAGUUACUGACACUGAGGCACGAAGGCCAGGGGAGCAAACGGG